Astatotilapia calliptera (eastern happy) is the source of this 883-nucleotide long non-coding RNA. NCBI's taxonomy places the organism in Eukaryota, Metazoa, Chordata, Actinopteri, Cichliformes, Cichlidae. The record is from Ensembl.
GAGAUCUUCCCUUUGAUGGCGGUCAAGUAUGUGUCGGAGCACAUGGAAAAAGUAUCUUGGCCCCGAACUCUUACCACAAAGGGAAUAACGUCUGUCAAGUUAUUUGUGUCUGAAAAUCCCGAUUGGUUUUUUGAACUACUAGAAGGAUUCUGGAGAACCACUGACGGUGAGAACAGCCCAACUGAGAUCCUGGAUGAUCUUGAAAUGGUGUGGCCAGCCAUGCGAUCGGAUUGUGGGAUUUGCCUGAGAAACUGAUUCAAGCAACCCUGGAUUUCAGAUAAGCCCUAUGCACUACUUUUCCUACCCGGAUAAUAGGGUUUGCACACUGACAAUUCCCCUACAGUACACCUGUUUGGGUUUUCAACAACUUUAAAGGACAAUUCAGACUGGACAAUUCAAACUUCACAACGGAAACACUUUAAUCUGUUUCAUUCAUUCCAAAGAGCUCUGAUACAGUUCAGUAUAAAUCUUCCAUUUGAAUGUCUUUAUUUUGUUUUGUUUUACAUGUAUUCACCUUUAAAAUGCACUAUUAGUGUGCAAUUUGGGUUAUUGUGUUGUAUAUGUAUAUAAAUGGUAGAGGUGGGAAUCACCAUACAUCCCACGAUACAAUAUUAUCACAAUACUUAACGCACGAUACGAUAUUAUUGCAAUUUUUAAAAAUAUUUUGCGAUAUUCAGAUUCUGUACAUAAAGGUAAACUUUAUCAAUAUUCAUUUUAUCUAAUAUCAAAGUCUCACACUCAGUCUUUCUCUCAUUUCAGUCAGUUUUAUUGUUGACAAACUGAACGGUUUGUAUUACAGUUUAGUCCCAACUUAACUGAAUGCAACCAUCUGGUACAAUUAUAGCUAUUCUGAACUAUGCAAUUUAUGAAAACUAUGCAGCCC